AUUGAACGCUGGCGGCAUGCCUUACACAUGCAAGUCGAACGGUAACGCGGGGCAACCUGGCGACGAGUGGCGAACGGGUGAGUAAAGCAUCGGAACGUGCCCAGUAGUGGGGGAUAGCCCGGCGAAAGCCGGAUUAAUACCGCAUACGACCUACGGGAGAAAGGGGGGGAUCGCAAGACCUCCCGCUAUUGGAGCGGCCGAUGUCAGAUUAGGUAGUUGGUGGGGUAAAGGCCUACCAAGCCGACGAUCUGUAGCUGGUCUGAGAGGACGACCAGCCACACUGGGACUGAGACACGGCCCAGACUCCUACGGGAGGCAGCAGUGGGGAAUUUUGGACAAUGGGCGCAAGCCUGAUCCAGCCAUGCCGCGUGCGGGAAGAAGGCCUUCGGGUUGUAAACCGCUUUUGUCAGGGAAGAAAUCCUUUGGGUUAAUACCUCGGGGGGAUGACGGUACCUGAAGAAUAAGCACCGGCUAACUACGUGCCAGCCGCCGCCGUAA
RNAcentral lists this ribosomal RNA (498 nucleotides) under uncultured bacterium. Its description in RNAcentral is "partial 16S ribosomal RNA". It matches the Rfam family "Bacterial small subunit ribosomal RNA", at positions 29 to 523 of the family's 1533-position model. The record is from RNAcentral.